Molecule: non-coding RNA, 343 nt
Organism: Micropterus dolomieu (smallmouth bass)
Lineage: Eukaryota; Metazoa; Chordata; Actinopteri; Centrarchiformes; Centrarchidae
Source: the annotation of a RefSeq genome assembly
UUAACAACUCCAAAGACAUGUUGCUUUACCUCUUUUUACUUUGCUCUCACUUCAUAGCCCUGGGUUCCAUGAACAGCAUAACGCCAGAAAGUCCUGAAGAACAUGUUGCAGAGGGAGGAAACAUCAACCUGACCUGUAAAUAUGAGGGUGCUAUCUACAAUAUCCAGUGGUACCGACAAUACCAGAGAUCCAGACCAGAGUUCCUGCUCUACAUCACAGAGGGAGGAACGAUUCAUCCAGCUGAUUCUGUUUUCUCAGCUCACAUUAAUAAAGAAGAGAAACGUGUGAAUCUGGAGAUCAUCUCAGCUAAAGUGACAGACUCUGCUGUGUACUACUGUGCUCU